GACGAACGCUGGCGGCGUGCCUAAUACAUGCAAGUCGAACGGAGCGGGGGACGGGUGAGUAAGGCCUAGGUAUCUGCCUGUUAGUGGGGGAUCCCGUAAGGAAACGGGCGCCAAUGCCGCAUCCUAUCAACUGAGCCUAGGUCGGAUUAGCUAGUUGGUGGGGUAAAGGCCUACCAAGGCGACGAUCCGUAGCCGGCCUGAGAGGAUGAUCAGUCACACUGGGACUGAGACACGGCCCAGACUCCUACGGGAGGCAGCAGUGGGGAAUAUUGGACAAUGGGCGAAAGCCUGAUCGAGCCAUGCCGCGUGUGUGAAGAAGGUCUUCGGAUUGUAAAGCACUGUAGGUAGGGAAGCGGUACCAACAGAAUAAGCACCGGCUAACUACGUGCCAGCAGCCGCGGUAAUUC
Molecule: ribosomal RNA, 407 nt
Filed under: uncultured bacterium
Lineage: Bacteria
Description: partial 16S ribosomal RNA
Rfam family: Bacterial small subunit ribosomal RNA
Source: RNAcentral